GCUCUUUAGUCCACCACGUCGCAAAUGGGACGCUGCUUCCUUUGGGCCUUUCCUGACCCUUCCAUUGUGGAUCAGUCUUCGUUUUAUGAGCUCCUUUAACGCUUUGUGUUGAUCCCUCAAUCUCAAUGGCAGCUAAAAGGAUGUAGCCUAGGGCACGUGCCCAGACUGUGCGGCUGCCCCGCUGCCCGGUGAGUGGCUCUACUGCGCUCCGCCCGAGGCGCCUUCUCAUGCACCCCCGGCGUUCUCAGGAAGCACUUCUGCCAGCAGUUUACAAAGCAUUUGACAGCAGGGGAUUGGCCUCCUGCACAGGAAGUUUGUCUUCUCCUGAGGAAGUGGAUGCCAUGUGUCACUUUGCAGAUGGAUCAAGUGCAGGAGGUGCCUGUUGGAGACGCAGAGCUCUGCAGCAGCAGGUGAGCUGAUGCUGCAACCUGCUAAACGCCGCUCCUGCGGAGCGCCAGGGCCCAGAGUGCACAUGGCUCUCAGGCUCCGUGAAAAGCUUGCAGUGAGCUCAGCCACUGAAAAGUCACUACGAAGAUGGAAAGCAAAAUGAAAACCGAGUCCUCGACACCGCUUCCUGGAGCUGUUCUGUGCAGAAGUUGAGUGAAGAUACUGCAGCGAGCCCUGGGUCUGAACGCCUGUGUGCUGACUCUAGACCUGCUCCUCAGCCCCAGUUUUCUCUGAAAAACCAGGAUUCUAGCACAACUCGUACCCCCAUUCUUUUCAGUCCUGCACCCACCAGCGAGCCGCAAGGCCCAGGAGCUACUGGCCCUGUUUUCCUGUCUCCAGUACUGGCCUUUGAUUUAUGAGAUGUCCCCUGUCUCCCCUGCUUCUGACCUCCCAGGAUGGCAUUUGGUGAUUUCUUGAUGUUCUCUUGCUUUGGCAUUAAAAUAUGGAUGGGAGUGUCAUUUCCAGAUCUUUUCCAGACCUGUGCAAUUCUUUCCAUUCUUCAUAACAGCCCAUGACCCACCUUCCUCUGUUUCAGCCACAAAGCUAGCCAUGCCUGUGUGCGCACUGCUGUUUCUCAUUGUUAAUAUUUUAACUGUUAUUAAAAAAAAAACUUUCUUUUAAACUGUGUGUGUAUGGUUUUAAAAAUUGACGCACUUCCAGAGCUCUCAACUUCUGCAGUCUUUCUGAGGUCCGUGUUCCUCUUCUUCAGCUGGGAAGCAAAUGCUUGACUU
This 1178-nucleotide long non-coding RNA is filed under the name Homo sapiens (human). RNAcentral's name for it is "HSALNT0136512". The record is from RNAcentral. Lineage: Eukaryota; Metazoa; Chordata; Mammalia; Primates; Hominidae.